CGAGAACCAUAACCUGUCAAGUCAAUGAAUGUGUCAUUGACUGUGAGGAUGGUAUUAUUGCUGUUCAACAUGCAAGUUAUGGACGGCAGGAUCGUAUCUGCCUUGAUUAACUCGGCAGCCACACCAGACUGUUACUUCCUUCAGACUAGUGGCCUGCGUUCCAGGUGUAAUGGAAAAUCAUCUUGUCAUAUAAAUGCUUCGUAUUUGUCCUUCACUGAUCAUCAUCACAUCGACAAUAAGUACAUAGAAGUGACAUUCUCCUGUGUAUGAAGCACACGUUGUCAAUUGGUGAGGAAACGUCUUUUGUAGAAGACCUAAAAACGGCCUGGAAGAGCAGAAGCGGCGCAUCUUUAGCAUUUCUAUUUUCUUGUGUUUAUUGUAAAAAUGCACUACACAAAUAAAUUGCAGUUGACUU
Long non-coding RNA from Megalobrama amblycephala (Wuchang bream), 415 nucleotides. RefSeq lists it as uncharacterized. The transcript is spliced from 4 exons. Lineage: Eukaryota; Metazoa; Chordata; Actinopteri; Cypriniformes; Xenocyprididae. The record is from RefSeq and is a predicted model, not a curated record.